This 253-nucleotide ribosomal RNA is filed under the name uncultured bacterium. Its description in RNAcentral is "partial 16S ribosomal RNA". It matches the Rfam family "Bacterial small subunit ribosomal RNA", at positions 524 to 776 of the family's 1533-position model. The record is from RNAcentral.
UACAGAGGGGGCAAGCGUUGUUCGGAAUUACUGGGCGUAAAGGGCGCGUAGGUGGCCUUCUAAGUUGAACGUGAAAUCCCUGGGCUCAACCCAGGAACUGCGUCCAAGACUGGGAGGCUUGAAUCCGGGAGAGGGAUGCGGAAUUCCAGGUGUAGCGGUGAAAUUCGUAGAUAUUCGGAGGAACACCAGUGGCGAAGGCGGCUCACUGGUCUGGUACUGACGCUGAGGUGCGAAAGCGUGGGGAGCAAACAGG